This is a long non-coding RNA of Raphanus sativus (radish), 370 nucleotides long. RefSeq lists it as uncharacterized. Lineage: Eukaryota; Viridiplantae; Streptophyta; Magnoliopsida; Brassicales; Brassicaceae. The transcript has 4 exons. The record is from RefSeq and is a predicted model, not a curated record.
CUGACUUUUCUUUUGGUUUAUAUGCAGAUGCCCUAUUCUAACGAUUUCACCACGAUGCAGCGAAGAAUAUGACACAAAAGCUGAUAUUUUCUCCUUUGCUUUGAUCGUUCAAGAGAUGAUAGAAGGACGAAUGCCAUUUGCUGAAAAGGAAGACAGUGAAGCUUCAGAAGCUUAUGCCAGCAAAGAGCGGCCACUGUUCAAAGCUCCAUCAAAUUGCUUUACCCUCAUGGACUUAAAACGGAGAUAAUGAUCCAUGGUACCGUGAAGAAGGAACACCAAGAUGACUUUAUAAGUUUGGAAGCAACUGCGUUGGCUGGAAAUAAUCUUCAUUAGUUGAUGGAUGCAUUGAGGAAAUUUUCUUUUGGGUAAA